UGCGUGCUGUACAAAAAGAUGGCUGCC
Molecule: non-coding RNA, 27 nt
Filed under: Mus musculus (house mouse)
Lineage: Eukaryota; Metazoa; Chordata; Mammalia; Rodentia; Muridae
Source: RNAcentral